This 1237-nucleotide long non-coding RNA is filed under the name Androctonus crassicauda. Lineage: Eukaryota; Metazoa; Arthropoda; Arachnida; Scorpiones; Buthidae. The record is from RNAcentral.
CGUGACGGUGGGCAUGGAGCUGUUCGAGCAACACCAAGGCACGCACAUUUUACAGGUGAGCCACGCGGAGGGGCGGAACCGUCGGCGGCCGCCGCGCGUAUCUAACGCGGUCCGGAAGACGGCGGUAGGUUAACGGCCCCCCAGGCGGCGCCAUGGGUCGGCUAUCCCUUCCUUCUCCAUCCCGAGUCGGUACGGGUUGGGGUCGAGCUCCGUCAGACCGUCCAGUUCCCGGACGGCCAGCCCCGGGUGACGGAGACGGGCAAAUUUUACGCUAGCAGCCUUUAAAUUAUCGAUGGGCGGAGAAAGCCUUUACUUAUUAAUGGGACGGUGCCGACUAGCAAUUAUAAUACUAAUAAUGUUAGGAAAUAUAAUUUUCCGGUUUAAGGCGCUAAAUCCCGUCCAUUCGGCUAUUUAUUUCAUUCCCGUUUCUAGUUAUCUGGGCAGUAGCCGGCUCUCGUCUGUCGGCGCUAACAAAUUUAUCUUUUCGCUCGGUGCCGGGACGCGCGACUUCUUAAGACCGUGACAGAAGGCACCCUGGUCAUCCCUGGAUCCACCUUAGCCAAUCAUAUCCGCGCCCGCUGGGAGUGGGCCGGUGUGGCUACGACUAGGUGAGGGCAACGGGUGUCGGCCGCGGCCACUACUCGGAAUUGGGUCGGCAUCUGCACCCAUCGGAUCACUUAAACUCAUUAGUACCGACUUUUAAAAAGCGGUGAUAAAAGGAACGCGACUUCAGUCGGUUUGGCCGCUAUAUCCGUGUUUCUCAAACUGUAUUCCGCCAAGAAAGGAAAACCAUCUCCUCUAAAAGUUUAAAAGAAAAUUCAUCACUCGCUAAGUUUCGGAUUGGUGUCAAUAGCCAAUACCAGGAUUUAAGUGACGGGGCGAUUGAAAUUAUUCUUCCACUUAUUUAUGUGAGAGCCGAUUGUCAACGCUCGCUUUAAGCGAGACAAAACCAGGCGAUAGACUAAAUUUGGCAUCAAGUAUAAGAUUAUGUUUAACCAACAUCGAACCAAAUAUCGAAAAUUUAUACGAGUCGAGGCCAUCUCACCUUCCUAUAAACGUAAUUAUAAAUUCAAGAAUUAAUAGUUACGUUUGUGUUAUUGGACUGGUUAAUCGUUUUGUUUUUACCUUCCGGUUUUCAUUAAAUACGAAUUAGAAUAUAUUUUAUUUUAAAAUAAUUUUUCUUUCUUUAUUUUUUCUUAUAAAAACAAUUCGAUGCAAAAAUUUAUUUUCUUUGUCC